GAGGGUACAGCUCAGUGGUAGAGCACGUGCUUAGCAUGCAUGAGGUCCUGGGUUUAAUCCCAGUAUCUCCA
This 71-nucleotide transfer RNA is filed under the name Camelus ferus (Wild Bactrian camel). It matches the Rfam family "tRNA". From Rfam's summary of the family: Transfer RNA (tRNA) molecules are approximately 80 nucleotides in length. Their secondary structure includes four short double-helical elements and three loops (D, anti-codon, and T loops). Lineage: Eukaryota; Metazoa; Chordata; Mammalia; Artiodactyla; Camelidae. The record is from Rfam by way of RNAcentral.